UAGGGAAUCUUCCACAAUGGACGCAAGUCUGAUGGAGCAACGCCGCGUGAGUGAAGAAGGUUUUCGGAUCGUAAAGCUCUGUUGUUGGUGAAGAAGGAUAGAGGCAGUAACUGGUCUUUAUUUGACGGUAAUCAACCAGAAAGUCACGGCUAACUACGUGCCAGCAGCCGCGGUAAUACGUAGGUGGCAAGCGUUGUCCGGAUUUAUUGGGCGUAAAGCGAGCGCAGGCGGAAUGAUAAGUCUGAUGUGAAAGCCCACGGCUCAACCGUGGAACUGCAUCGGAAACUGUCAUUCUUGAGUGCAGAAGAGGAGAGUGGAAUUCCAUGUGUAGCGGUGGAAUGCUUAGAUAUAUGGAAGAACACCAGUGGCGAAGGCGGCUCUCUGGUCUGCAACUGACGCUGAGGCUCGAAAGCAUGGGUAGCGAACAGG
RNAcentral lists this ribosomal RNA (429 nucleotides) under bacterium. RNAcentral describes it as "partial 16S ribosomal RNA". It matches the Rfam family "Bacterial small subunit ribosomal RNA", at positions 355 to 776 of the family's 1533-position model. The record is from RNAcentral.